RNAcentral lists this ribosomal RNA (250 nucleotides) under uncultured bacterium. Its description in RNAcentral is "partial 16S ribosomal RNA". It matches the Rfam family "Bacterial small subunit ribosomal RNA", at positions 524 to 773 of the family's 1533-position model. The record is from RNAcentral.
UACGAAGGGUGCAAGCGUUGUUCGGAAUUAUUGGGCGUAAAGGGUUCGUAGGCGGGAAGAUAAGUCAAGUGUGAAAUCCCUAAGCUCAACUUAGGACGUGCAUUUGAAACUGUUUUUCUUGAGUGUUGGAGAGGGUCGUGGAAUUGCUGGUGUAGGAGUGAAAUCCGUAGAUAUCAGCAGGAACACCUGAGGCGAAGGCGGCGACCUGGCCAUACACUGACGCUGAGGAACGAAAGCGCGGGGAGCAAAC